CCCUUAGAUGUUCUGGGCCGCACGCGUGCUACACUGAGCGGGCCAACGGGUGAGGAUGUGCGAAAGCGCUUCCCAAUCUCUAAAUCCGCUCGUGCUGGGGAUCGAGGCUUGCAAUUAUCCCUCUUGAACGAGGAAUACCUUGUAAGCACGGGUCAUCAUCCCGUGCUGAAUACGUCCCUGCCCUUUGUACACACCGCCCGUCGCUCCUACCGAUUGAGUGGUCCGGUGAGGCCUAGGGAGGGCUAAGUGGGCUGUGUUUCACAGACUACCUGGCCCGAACCUGGUCAAACCUUAUCACUUAGAGGAAGGAGAAGUCGUAACA
RNAcentral lists this ribosomal RNA (322 nucleotides) under uncultured eukaryote. RNAcentral's name for it is "partial 18S ribosomal RNA". It matches the Rfam family "Eukaryotic small subunit ribosomal RNA", at positions 1470 to 1796 of the family's 1831-position model. The record is from RNAcentral.